RNAcentral lists this ribosomal RNA (387 nucleotides) under Triticum aestivum (bread wheat). Its description in RNAcentral is "partial small subunit ribosomal RNA". Lineage: Eukaryota; Viridiplantae; Streptophyta; Magnoliopsida; Poales; Poaceae. The record is from RNAcentral.
AUGUUGCAAGCACUUCAUGCUAGUGGUAUUGGUGCCCACUCUGGCAUUACUGCUACUUAUCACCGCAUCAAGGCACCAUUUGCUUGGACAGGAAUCUUUCAAUCAGUGGAAUCUUUUGUGAUCAAGUGUCAAAUCUGUCAGCAAGCUAAGGUAGAACAUUACAAACUCUCUGGCCCCUUUGAUCCUCUACCCAUACCUGAUGAAGCAUGGUCCAUUAUCAGCAUUGACUUCAUCACUGGAUUACCAAAGUCACAUUACUAUGAUUCAAUUCAGGUGGUGCAUGAGACAACCCAAACAAACAGAAAUAGAAUUAAUACCCAAAAACACAAGCUGUGGGCCGUAAAGUGGAAACGGUUGCAGGCCAAAGCUGUCCCCCUUUGCCACUAA